This 72-nucleotide transfer RNA is filed under the name Vigna radiata var. radiata (mung bean). It matches the Rfam family "tRNA". Rfam says of the family: Transfer RNA (tRNA) molecules are approximately 80 nucleotides in length. Their secondary structure includes four short double-helical elements and three loops (D, anti-codon, and T loops). Further hydrogen bonds mediate the characteristic L-shaped molecular structure. tRNAs have two regions of fundamental functional importance: the anti-codon, which is responsible for specific mRNA codon recognition, and the 3' end, to which the tRNAs corresponding amino acid is attached (by aminoacyl-tRNA synthetases). tRNAs cope with the degeneracy of the genetic code in two manners: having more than one tRNA (with a specific anti-codon) for a particular amino acid; and 'wobble' base-pairing, i.e. permitting non-standard base-pairing at the 3rd anti-codon position. Lineage: Eukaryota; Viridiplantae; Streptophyta; Magnoliopsida; Fabales; Fabaceae. The record is from Rfam by way of RNAcentral.
GUAUUCAUUGUCUAAUAGAUAAGUCAGAGGUCUUCUAAACCUUAGGUAUGAGUUCAAAUCCUAUUAAACACA